Molecule: non-coding RNA, 31 nt
Filed under: Rattus norvegicus (Norway rat)
Lineage: Eukaryota; Metazoa; Chordata; Mammalia; Rodentia; Muridae
Source: RNAcentral
AUUUUUAACGAUGGUUCUUAAGCACUUUAAC